Molecule: ribosomal RNA, 301 nt
Filed under: uncultured bacterium
Lineage: Bacteria
Description: partial 16S ribosomal RNA
Rfam family: Bacterial small subunit ribosomal RNA
Source: RNAcentral
CAGCAGCCGCGGGAAUACGAAGGGGGCUAGCGUUGCUCGGAAUGACUGGGCGUAAAGAGCGCGUAGGGGGCGGCCAAAGUCAGACGUGAAAUUCCUGGGCUCAACCUGGGGGCUGCGUUUGAUACUUGGUUGCUUGAGUGGGGAAGAGGGUCGUGGAAUUCCCAGUGUAGAGGUGAAAUUCGUAGAUAUUGGGAAGAACACCGGUGGCGAAGGUGGCGACCUGGUCCUUGACUGACGCUGAGGCGCGAAAGCGUGGGGAGCAAACAGGAUUAGAUACCCCUGUAGUCCCUGUCUCUUAUAC